GAGACACCCCCAUGGAGAAGGACUUGCUUCAGUGGGGCUUUGGUGCUCACUGAGUCCACCCCUUGAGUGUGUUGCU
RNAcentral lists this microRNA precursor (76 nucleotides) under Myotis brandtii (Brandt's bat). Its description in RNAcentral is "mir-9229 microRNA precursor family". It matches the Rfam family "mir-9229 microRNA precursor family". The record is from Rfam by way of RNAcentral. Lineage: Eukaryota; Metazoa; Chordata; Mammalia; Chiroptera; Vespertilionidae.